RNAcentral lists this transfer RNA (92 nucleotides) under Dehalococcoidia bacterium. RNAcentral's name for it is "tRNA-Ser". It matches the Rfam family "tRNA". From Rfam's summary of the family: Transfer RNA (tRNA) molecules are approximately 80 nucleotides in length. The record is from RNAcentral. Lineage: Bacteria; Bacillati; Chloroflexota; Dehalococcoidia.
GGAGAGGUGGCCGAGCGGUUGAAGGCGCCGGUCUCGAAAACCGGUAUACCGGAUCCCCGGUAUCGCGGGUUCGAAUCCCGCCCUCUCCGCCA